ACGGGAGGCAGCAGUGAGGAAUAUUGGUCAAUGGAGGAAACUCUGAACCAGCCAAGUCGCGUGAAGGACGACGGCCCUAUGGGUUGUAAACUUCUUUUGUAGCUGGAUAAACGACAUUACGUGUAAUGUUUUGAAGGUAAUCUACGAAUAAGCAUCGGCUAACUCCGUGCCAGCAGCCGCGGUAAUACGGAGGAUGCGAGCGUUAUCCGGAUUUAUUGGGUUUAAAGGGUGCGCAGGCGGGCGAUUAAGUCAGCGGUGAAAUCUCGGAGCUCAACUCUGAAACUGCCGUUGAUACUGGUUGUCUUGAGUCAUAUCGAGGAUGGCGGAAUGCAGCGUGUAGCGGUGAAAUGCAUAGAUAUGACGAAGAACACCGAUUGCGUAGGCAGCUUACCAGUCCGUUAAUGACGCUCAUGCACGAAAGUGCGGGGAUCGAACAGGAUUAGAUACCCUGGUA
RNAcentral lists this ribosomal RNA (454 nucleotides) under uncultured Dysgonomonas sp. Its description in RNAcentral is "partial 16S ribosomal RNA". It matches the Rfam family "Bacterial small subunit ribosomal RNA", at positions 341 to 792 of the family's 1533-position model. Lineage: Bacteria; Pseudomonadati; Bacteroidota; Bacteroidia; Bacteroidales; Dysgonomonadaceae. The record is from RNAcentral.